RNAcentral lists this ribosomal RNA (269 nucleotides) under uncultured prokaryote. Its description in RNAcentral is "partial 16S ribosomal RNA". It matches the Rfam family "Bacterial small subunit ribosomal RNA", at positions 524 to 792 of the family's 1533-position model. The record is from RNAcentral.
UACGGAGAAGGCGAGCGUUGUUCGGAAUCACUGGGCUUAAAGCGCGUGUAGGCGGGUCCACAAGUCGGACGUGAAAGCCCUCGGCUUAACCGAGGAACUGCCUCCGAUACUGUGGGUCUUGAGUCAGCCAGAGGCGGAUGGAACUCCAGGUGGAGCGGUGAAAUGCGUAGAUAUCUGGAGGAACACCAGUGGCGAAAGCGGUCCGCUGGGGCUGUACUGACGCUGAGACGCGAAAGCGUGGGGAGCGAACGGGAUUAGAUACCCCCGUA